This 253-nucleotide ribosomal RNA is filed under the name uncultured bacterium. RNAcentral describes it as "partial 16S ribosomal RNA". It matches the Rfam family "Bacterial small subunit ribosomal RNA", at positions 524 to 776 of the family's 1533-position model. The record is from RNAcentral.
UACAGAGGUGGCAAGCGUUGUUCGGAAUUACUGGGCGUAAAGGGCGCGUAGGCGGUCUUGUAAGUCUUGUGUGAAAUUCCUCGGCUUAACUGAGGAACUGCACGGGAUACUGCGAGACUUGAGAUCGGGAGAGGGAAGCGGAAUUCCGGGUGUAGCGGUAAUAUGCGUAGAUAUCGGGAGGAACACCAGUGGCGAAGGCGGCUCUCUGGGGUAUUUCUGACGCUGAGGCACGAAAGCCAGGGGAGCGAACGGG